GGUGCGAUAGUGUAAUGGUAUCACAACACGUUGUGGCCGUGUUAAUCUGAGUUCGAUUCUCAGUCGCGCCA
This is a non-coding RNA of Westerdykella ornata, 71 nucleotides long. Lineage: Eukaryota; Fungi; Ascomycota; Dothideomycetes; Pleosporales; Sporormiaceae. The record is from the annotation of a RefSeq genome assembly.